UACGUAGGGGGCAAGCGUUAUCCGGAUUUACUGGGUGUAAAGGGAGCGUAAACGGCGUGACAAGUCUGAAGUGAAAGCCCGCGGCUCAACCGCGGAACUGCUUUGGAAACUGUCAAGCUUGAGUGCAGGAGAGGUAAGUGGAAUUCCUAGUGUAGCGGUGAAAUGCGUAGAUAUUAGGAGGAACACCAGUGGCGAAGGCGGCUUACUGGACUGUAACUGACGUUGAGGCUCGAAAGCGUGGGGAG
RNAcentral lists this ribosomal RNA (245 nucleotides) under uncultured Hungatella sp. RNAcentral's name for it is "partial 16S ribosomal RNA". It matches the Rfam family "Bacterial small subunit ribosomal RNA", at positions 524 to 768 of the family's 1533-position model. Lineage: Bacteria; Bacillati; Bacillota; Clostridia; Lachnospirales; Lachnospiraceae. The record is from RNAcentral.